Mus musculus (house mouse) is the source of this 913-nucleotide long non-coding RNA. RefSeq annotates it as predicted gene, 35298. Lineage: Eukaryota; Metazoa; Chordata; Mammalia; Rodentia; Muridae. The record is from RefSeq and is a predicted model, not a curated record. The transcript is spliced from 4 exons.
UACCUUUCUCACCUCUGCCCAGGUGCACAGUGGGGGUCACUGCAGCAAGAAAAGCCCAGAGGGAACCUGCCUGGACACCAAACACCCUUACACAUCCCACCCUGAUCCUUUCCCAAGGGAGAGAAGUAUUUGUUUUCCCUGUCGCCCUGAUUUAUGGACCACUUUGUUCUUUAUCUGUUUGCACACUCAGUAGAGUGACCUGUUUCUUCCCCCAGAGGGUGGGAUGCUGUCAGCACCUCAGGGUCACAGGUCAGGCGACCUGUCUAAGGAAGAAGAGGUUACAAGAGGUCACCUGGGAACCAGUUGCAGGUACCAAUCUUGCUUGGCUCCAAGUCGCUUCCUUGGGACUCAAGAGGGCAGAGCGCAAGAAUGGUGACCCUGUCUGGGAGGUACAGCAUCCAUACCUGUCACAGGUUCAUAGACAGUCAUAGACAACAAGAGCCCUGAACACUGUCGUCAGCAUCUCGUGUAACACUCACUGGAGCCUUUGAUGAAGCUGUUCUAGGUCUUUUGAGAAGAAGGCAACAGAAACUUUAAUACCAUAAUCCCCUCCCCCUGCCCCUCUCCUGAGGGUUGAGGAUCUCUUCCUUACAGCUGCUUCCUGCCCUCUGCUGAUCGAGGAAAGGAGUUAGGAAUUCCUGAAGAAGUCAGAUACCCAGCCUGUCUAAACCAGAGAUGUCUAUUUCAUGAACAACUCCAUGCCACCAAACUCUGCCAAGAUUGUGUGAAGUUGGUUCUUAUCUGCUCCAUGCAAAGCUGGGAUGCGCACAUGGACUUGGUUUGGUUGCUGUUUGUGUGCAUUCUGGUUCUCUCCAGGAUAAUGGCUGUGCUCUGGCCAAGAGCUUCAGAUGAUCCGAGUGCUGAUAAAAUCCAGUGCAAUGCGAACUGCCCCACUGGCCAAGUAGACUUCUGA